UUCACAGGUGGAGAUUGGAGAGUGUAGCAGAGCAGACAGAACAACCGAGAAGUUGUUGUCGUUGAUUCAACCAACUGAGGGACAUCGCCACCAACAUCAAUCGCCAGCUCCCUCAACACCAGAUGCUUCGAGAUACCGACGGAGAGGGUACUGACAUGUUGUGAAAGCACUUAGAUCUACGACAACAACAUGAAGUCCAACACCACACUGGAAAUGCAGGUGGCAACCAGAUUGGAUUUCAGAAGAACAACACGUGGCAUGGGCAUGUCAUACGCCACGAUGCUGCUACUUCACUGACAAGUGGGGUAGAAUCAUGUUACGAUGAGACUAGAAAGAAGCACAACAAGAACAGAAGACUAUAAGAAAGAAGAGAAGA
Long non-coding RNA from Schistocerca gregaria, 376 nucleotides. RefSeq lists it as uncharacterized. The record is from RefSeq and is a predicted model, not a curated record. NCBI's taxonomy places the organism in Eukaryota, Metazoa, Arthropoda, Insecta, Orthoptera, Acrididae. The transcript is spliced from 3 exons.